UACGUAGGGUGCGAGCGUUGUCCGGAAUUAUUGGGCGUAAAGAGCUCGUAGGCGGUCUGUCGCGUCGAUCGUGAAAACUUGGGGCUUAACCCUGAGCUUGCGGUCGAUACGGGCAUGACUGGAGUUCGGCAGGGGAGACUGGAAUUCCUGGUGUAGCGGUGAAAUGCGCAGAUAUCAGGAGGAACACCGGUGGCGAAGGCGGGUCUCUGGGCCGAUACUGACGUUGAGGAGCGAAAGCGUGGGGAGCGAACAGG
Molecule: ribosomal RNA, 254 nt
Filed under: uncultured bacterium
Lineage: Bacteria
Description: partial 16S ribosomal RNA
Rfam family: Bacterial small subunit ribosomal RNA
Source: RNAcentral